UUACAGGUACACAUUAAUUUUUAAUUUUUUCAGCAAUAUCGGUAACCUGAUUCAGAUUUGAUUAUAGAAUGCCAAUAACGCGCUGAAAACGACCACCAACAAUGUCGUCAAACUGGAAUCCAUCGUGAAAGAACAAAAACUAGCGGCUGAAAAAAUUCAAAAACAAAUCGAACAAUUUAUGAUCAAAAGAUUGAACGCACAAGCUGAGAUUGAUAGUCUGAACACACAACUCGAUGAUAUGAGUAAAGAAAAUGUUGAGAAGACAAAAAAAUUGAAGACCCUGGAACAGGAUAACAACAGGCUGCUCAGCGAGGUUGAAAA
RNAcentral lists this unclassified non-coding RNA (321 nucleotides) under Athalia rosae (coleseed sawfly). RNAcentral's name for it is "misc RNA ENSAEAG00005003631.1". Lineage: Eukaryota; Metazoa; Arthropoda; Insecta; Hymenoptera; Athaliidae. The record is from RNAcentral.